Neofelis nebulosa (Clouded leopard) is the source of this 3962-nucleotide long non-coding RNA. RefSeq lists it as uncharacterized. The transcript has 10 exons. The record is from RefSeq and is a predicted model, not a curated record. Lineage: Eukaryota; Metazoa; Chordata; Mammalia; Carnivora; Felidae.
GCUGGCCUUCUACUCCGGUCUCCGGGAAAAGCAGUCGGGCAGUGGUGACGUCAAUGAGGCGCCGGCUCUAUCCCGGGCGCCAGCGGCGCUCUUUGAUAACCUCACGCUGCUCGCCCCGCCCCGCUGGCUCCUUUUCCCUAGCCUAAACUCUCAAGCGCCUCAGGCCAAAGCUGUGGAAGGAGUUGCGGCGGGAAGCGGUUACUUUUUACUAGUUACCUGACGUUAACCUCAGUCUGGAAGCAGAAGACCCUCCUUCUGAAGAAUUAUUGGAAGGUCAAUAGUAGCCUUACACCAUAUUACAAUGCCUGCAUCAUUCAUGUCACUUUAUCUCAUCACCUGGGCAUUUUGCCAUCUCACACCAUCACGGGAAGGGCUGGAUAGUGAGAAUAAAUAAGCGGGUGAGGCUGCUCUACCACUGAGCCUCCCCACACUCCACUCGUCUUCCAGCCUUGCAGGAGAGGGACUGAUGGAGAGUAAGCUUUGCUCAGACAGGAAAUAGAAGCAGCUCUGGGCUGAGGACUCAAUCUGCUCUUCCUUUCUGGAUGUAGAGUUUGGGCUCAACUUCUCCAAGACCAUUAACCCAGUAAUCUGAGCUCAGUGGCUCCAGCAUCCACAUGACUGGAAACAGAAGGGUUUCGCCUCUUGCUGUUGGAGGGGUUUAACACACUGUGGAGCUUAGCGGAUUUCUUUCAGGUUUUGUUUCAGCUGCCAAGAGCCCAGGGACUCAAGCAUUUUAAAAAGCUCAAGGAAUGCCAGAGAAUUGAGAAGGGACCCAGGGAAUUGGUGUUUGCUGAGCUAUUGCUGGUGUGCCUGGGAUGGAGAACAAGGAGGCCUAGAGAUGUGGCCCAUCCUGAAGAUCUGGCUGAGAGGGCUUUGUGCUGCAGGUCUAGCCUCUUUAGUAAUCUUCUCUAGUAAGACACAAGGGAUGGAUAAAAAUGAGCAAUUAUACUUGAGACAGAUCCGUUCCUUCAGUGGCAAUAUAUUUUCCUCACAUGCUUUUCUCUUCACAGCAAGCAAAUGCAUGUGGAGCCAGUGACUAUGAAGUCGGUCAUAUUAAAUUUACUCAGUUUUCUUCAAGUCUUCAAGCGUGAAGCGUUGCAAACCUUCACAUGUACACUAGGGAAAGAAAGGAAGAAAAAAAAGAAUUCCACUGCAAGGCCUAAGGAAAAGGCUGUGGAAAGAAAACAGCAAGAUAAAGCAACACAAUUUCAAAUCUUAAUCUCCUGAAAUGAUGCCUUUAAAGCCGCACUUUCCACAUUUCUGAGUGGAGCCCGUCAAAACUCCGUGUCAAAUCAUGUUAUAACCUUGCUUCUUAUCUGUUUGUGAUAGCUUUCAAGGGCCAGUAAUUCCCCCAUAUGUGGCAGAAAAGUUGAUAGUAGAGAUUUGCACACUUGACUAAGCUUCCUGCAUUGCUUUUUGUGCAGUGCUGGUGAAGGACAGAGAUUUGUUCUCCCUUUCAGAACUAAACAUGCAACUGCCAACGACACAGUCAAGAAGCAAACCAGAAUCACUCACUUGGUCAGAGAACCCUGACGAAUACAGACUUCAGCACAUCUUUUAGGGGGAUGCAGACCAACCCAUUGCAUGAAACAGUGGCAGUAGCCAAAGAAGACAAAAGUCUGAGAAAGAAUUGGGAGCCGGCAGGCAUGGACAGAAGACCUACAUUAGGCAUCACGCCAUGGAUUGUAUUUACUGAGUUAGGGGAUUGGAGGAGAGUGAAGGCAGCUAGAUAUGAGCUUCUCUUUCCAUCUUUGUUUCCAGCCAAGGAAACCAGCUGCAAUUCCAGAGAACACAAAGGGAAGCACUCCAAAACAGGUUGCAAAAUGCCUCAUUCCUGAGCCAGAUGCAAGCAGCCUGUGCUACACGAGAGCUAAAAAAAGAAGAAAGUGGAGGGAAAGGAUGCUCAUCCUUGGAACCCAGCCACCAUUGCUCUGAAGAAGCACAUGCCAUGUGGAGAGGCCCCUGGUUCUCAGGCCUGGCUGAGGUCCCAGCUGACAACUUGCAGGCCAUAUGAAGGCUACAUUGGAAACAGUUCCUCCAGCCCUAAGUCUGGCUGCCUGACUGAGGCUGCACGGAGCACAGAUAUUCUUCUCUAGAUUCGGCUUGCAGGACACCGUAGGCAGAAAAGGUGCAAAAGCAAAGGCUGUGAGUAACACUUGCAGAACCUCACCUACAUACUUCCAGAAUGAAGAACAGACACUGUUUCUAACCCUCGAGCCCCAUGACACAGACCCAAUGCACACCUUCUGUGUACCGUUUCCAUGGGAAUGUGCUGCUCAGGUUCCAUAUUGGCAACAGGAUCAUCUUUUUGCCUUGGGUCCCACACCUUCACAGUUCCUGUUGUGAAUACAACUUCUUUUGAGCCCUUAAUGAGCACUGCCAUCAUUCAACUUGGAACUCAAAGUCCUGAGCACACUCAGUGAUUCUCAGAGAUGAUCUAUCUAGGACCUCUGCACAUGACUUACCAGUUACAUAUUUUUCAGUGUACCAUCAUGCUGGGCACAGCAAAUCUACAGUCGAACUGGCUGAAGCUUGUCUAAAUCCAGGUUAGUUAAGAGGAAGGAAUGCAGGAAAGCACCCACUACUGUGGGUGUCUGAGUCUACCCAAGAUGGCAGGGUGAUGAAUGGCUCAAGUAAGUUAUAUUAAUACACCCCUUCUCCUGCCUCCCUCUUUUCUCCUGGAGCUUCUAUCCACAUUUCUCUUUAACAAGUCAGUUUUUGAUAACUUAUACUUAAAAAAAAAUGAAGGUAGCUAUUCACGAAAUGUAAUCCCAACUUAUUACUAGACCAAGAUUUAUUAGUAAAAUCUCCCUAAUUAAAAUUUCAGAUAGCUCAACCUAGGAGACUAUGUUUAUUUUUGUAGCAUCAUUGUGAAAGAAUCAGGACUAAACAGGACUGAGAUUCCACUUCAAAGAAUUGCUUUACUGUUUGACUUUAAAAUACUGCUUUUUACAACACAAAAUUAUAAGACUUAACAAUGAAAAUAAGUCAGUAAUACCUGUGACUAUGCUAGGAAACUCUAUUAGGGAGACAGUCAAUAAUUAUAUUUGUUGCUUAGUCUUAUGCUGAAAUAUUUUUAAAAAGAACAUUCAGACUGGUUUCUCCCAAGUUCUCUGAAAGUAUAUGUAAGAACUGAUGCAUUCUAAUAAAUGCUAACUUAAUUAUUAAGCAGUUAAAGCAAGGGGAAUUAAAAUAGCUUCAUUCUAUUUUAUGAUUCAUGUCAGUAAUUUAAUAAGAAAGCAACAGAUUCUAAGUGAAAAUCAAGAAAGGUCACCUUAGAAAACAUGAAGUAGAGAAGACAGUUUCUUUCUAGAACAUUACUAUAUACUUUAAACAGUAAAAAUAAGACAUAUUCUUGAAAAGUAAUUGAGGAAUUUCAGUUCAUGCCAUCUAAGUAGGAAAUAACUCAAGGUAGAACAUGAAAGUUAUAAGCAUUUGGCAUAAUUAUGGUCUUGUUCAUUUGCAACAGGUUUACAUUGAUUUGCUCAAUAGAUGUGUUCCUAAAAAGUUGUGCUUAGAUGUGCAGAAUUUUUUUAAUGAAUUGGGAAUUCUACAUUAAAAAAUUCAAACAAAGAAAAACUCAGUGUAUCGUUCUAUAAUGCCAAAUGUCUCACUGAAAUAUAAACAGUAUCUUAAGUUUUUCAUGUUUUACAUGUAUGGGGAAUAGCCCUUUAUGUACAAAUACAGGGGAUUAAAUGCUAGCACCAAACAGCAUGUGUGGAAAUAAAUAUUGGUAACAUUAUUCAAACUAGCUAAAGAAAAACAGUAUUUUUAAAUGGAUUUUGAAUAUGAAAUCUAGAAAUAUAUAUUAAAGGACAAUUCUUACAUUUUUAUAAAUAGUUAAAAUUGAACAAGGAACAUUUUAAAAUAAGAAUCCUCCCUUUCAGAGGAAGAGUAACAAGACUAUCAAGGAAACUGCCUAUCUUGCGUCUUAAUAUUGACUAAAUAAUCUUACCAUAUAU